Non-coding RNA from Capsicum annuum, 72 nucleotides. The record is from Rfam. NCBI's taxonomy places the organism in Eukaryota, Viridiplantae, Streptophyta, Magnoliopsida, Solanales, Solanaceae.
UCCUCAGUAACUCAGUGGUAGAGCGGUUGGCUAUUAACCAAUUGGCCGUAGGUUCAAAUCCUACUUAGGGAG